This 254-nucleotide ribosomal RNA is filed under the name uncultured bacterium. RNAcentral describes it as "partial 16S ribosomal RNA". It matches the Rfam family "Bacterial small subunit ribosomal RNA", at positions 524 to 776 of the family's 1533-position model. The record is from RNAcentral.
CACGUAGGGGGCAAGCGUUGUCCGGAAUCAUUGGGCGUAAAGAGCUCGUAGGCGGUUCGGUAAGUCGGGUGUGAAACCUCCAGGCUCAACCUGGAGACGCCACCCGAUACUGCUGUGACUAGAGUCCGGUAGGGGAGCGUGGAAUUCCUGGUGUAGCGGUGAAAUGCGCAGAUAUCAGGAGGAACACCAGCGGCGAAGGCGGCGCUCUGGGCCGGAACUGACGCUGAGGAGCGAAAGCGUGGGGAGCAAACAGG